This is a long non-coding RNA of Xenia sp. Carnegie-2017, 646 nucleotides long. RefSeq lists it as uncharacterized. Lineage: Eukaryota; Metazoa; Cnidaria; Anthozoa; Malacalcyonacea; Xeniidae. The record is from RefSeq and is a predicted model, not a curated record. The transcript is spliced from 2 exons.
CCUCCUAUGUCUGGGAAACUGGCAGGAACUUAAACUUACUGAACACAAACGACCUACAAAGAAUCAGUCGGAUUUUAUCGCUCAAGCUUCAAGACCAAUUGCUUUUCAAGUUUUGAUGAACAAACAAAAGAAAUAUCGCACCUGUGAAAGCGACAUGUUCCUUUUAGUGGACACUACAAUAUCCAACAAUCGAACGAUUGAAGUAUCCUUGCCAUAAUGCCAUGAGAAUUUUGCGCACCUCUCCUGGAAUUCCCGCUGUUUCAAUACCAUUCCUCAAAUCAACUAUACCGUCAACUGGAGACUUUUCCAAAGUGGGUGCAACUCUUCCAGUGAAGAUAGAAGUGAUAUUGUUGAUGGUAGAACGGGCAAACUUGCUGGAAAGUCCACUAACAUUUUUAGUAUCAUUGGAAACAGGGUUGGCUCUGCCAGUUUGGUGCAAUCAGCAGUUCUGUUGCUUUUGUUGCGUUUCAAUUUCAGUAAAAUCCUUGGUAUCAGAGCAAGUCGUGGAUGAAUGAAGACUGUCCAGUUGUUACAAACUACGGAGAAAGCGUCCGUUACCAUUGCCCCAGGAUUGGGAUAACGUACUAUGUAUUUGGGUACUUGAUUGCUCAGUAGGGAAGCGAAUAAAUUCACUUGCGGUGUGUAA